GGUCACACAGCCUCGGUGUAAGAGAGAGGGAUUUCUGUCUUCAUUUAGAGCUGUUGUAGAAGAGAACCCAGGGUGUGCAGUGCCCCAAGGAGCCCGGCUCUGCACUGAGAUCUGGAUGGAGGAAUGAGGAGUUAAGGGGUCGUGGAAGAUGCUUCAAGACGGGAUGCAGAUGAUUCUCCCUGAGUCCACCACAGGCUGAAUGUGUGCUUUCAUAGAAUCACAGAAUCAUUAAAGUCAGAAAAUAACUCUAAAAUCUUCCAGCCCAACCCCAGCCCAUCCCUACCAUGCCCACUGACCAUAUCCCCCAGUGCCACAUCUCCAUGCUUCUUGAACACCCCCAGGGACGAUGACUCCACCACCUCCCUGCGCCAACGCAUCACCACUCUUCAAGGGCAGAAAUCUUUCCUAAUCUCCAGCUGCAAGGAUGCUGAGCCCUGGGGAUGCACCAGGUGGGAGGUGGGCUCCGUACGUCUUCCCUUUCCUUUAACAGCACAGCAGCUCGGUGGUGCAUUUUGUUCAGGCUUUAACUUUGGUGGUUUUUUUUGUUUUUUUUUUUCUUUGCCUUUCCCUGGCGUUCGUUAGCAGAAGUGACAUUUCUGCGGACGGGCAGGCGAUGACGGCAGCUAAUGGCUCCCGGGCCCUCUCUCCAGUUUCCUUAGCAACUGCGUGAAGGGAAAACAGAACCUGUCAGAUGGAAAAUGUCAAUUACGGCAGAUGCGGAGGGGAGCGAUGCUGCGAGCAGGGGAGGCGCGUGGCGGCGGGGGGAGCACCCAGCAGAGUGGCCCCGAUGGGCAGCAUCAUGGUGACAGUGUGUGGCAGCAGAUGAGGGCUGUGGGGCAGCGACUGCAGGGUUCCAGGAAUGAUUUUGCCAUGCUGAGCCCAUGGCCAACUGGGAUCAUCCUCCAUGGCCAACUGGGAUCAGCCUCUAUGGCCAACUGGGAUUGGCCUCCAUGGUCAACUCUGGUUACCUCCCCAGCCAGAGGAGAUGCAGUGGAUGGAAGCGGAUCGAGAAAUGAUUCAAAAGCCCAAGCCGUUCUGCUGGUGGAGGAGACUGCGAGAUUGAGGCUUUGAUAGUGAGUGCCAAAGUUUCCCUGUCCAUGUGACUCAGCUCUUCAAUUACUGACAUCUUAGUUUGUUACCAUGUAUGCACAUUAUUUAUGUUUUGCCCAGGAAAAAGCAGCACAACUCCAGCAGAACAUUUGUUGUUGUUUCCCGUAUCUGUUUCCCAUCAUUAAACUGCGUAUCUUCUCCAUACAAACACAACCAAACCCCCAGCACCCUCCCACCAUCAUGAACACAACCACCACCAAACACCAAAAAACCACCCCCUAUACCCACAACGCCUCCCUUCCCCAAAUUUUAACCAAAGCAGCUCCCGCAGAGUGGAAUCCUUUCCUAGCUUGAUCUGGUUUUGGUGAGGGGUCAGUAGUGGGGGCAAAUGGGGAGCACAGCUCCCAAACUCAGCUUUUAAAGCCUCUGGGAGCAAAGCACCAGCUGAUUCCUGCUAAAGAUGACCACGGAGAGAAAGCAGUUGGCUGGUGUGUUCUGCUCACCAUGGGUACAGGAUGAGAGCCUGGAUUCCCAGCUCCCCUGGCUUCCCCCCCUUGAGCUGAAGGUGCCCCGUCCCUUUCUUGCCUGCCAAGCAGUGGAACAUAGAAUUAUAGAACCAUUAAGGUUGGAAUGACCACUAAGAUCAGACAGUCCAACCAUUUACCCAUCCCCAUCACACAGAGAACGCCCCAACAGCUCCCACCCAGCCCCUGGGAGCAGCCCUGAGAGUGCACGUCAGGAGAUUUCCUUCAAUUUCUUUAAUUACCCCUCUCUCCACAUCAUCCAGCUCCCUCCUUCCUCAUCACACUCUUUGCUACACGCUGUCUGCUUAGCAGAACAAAUGGCCGUGCCCCCAGCACAGAGCCCUGCCAAUGCCCUCCCAUUGCAGUGCAGCAGCCUUGGGGUUAAGCACAUCCCUCCUGCUGCAGGCAGUGCUCAAGCAGUGACUGCGUGGCUGCACAGCGAGGAUGUCUCCAGCCUAGAAAGCUUCCCUGGCAGUGAUCUCUUCAUACUCUGAACCCAUCUGCAAGCUACUCAAAGUGCAAAUGCAUGCUGAGGUAUCCUGGGGUGCAGCCCCAUCCCUGCCUGCUGUGCACCCCGACAGAGCCGUGCCACCUCCAGUGCCAGCUCACAGGGUGAGGGUGAAAACAGCUUCCUGAGCACAAGAGGGCUGUAAGGAUUAAUUAAAGUUGAAAAGCACUCCAAGCUCUUCAGCAAGAGUUGUUUUAAAUAAGGGAUGCUGUAAUAACAAGCUGGUUACGGCACGGAGGAGCCUUGUGGAGUGGGUGAUGGCAACUAGGAGCAGUGAGGUGGCAGACAGAGGGCACCAGGACUGCUCACAGCACUGGGGUGACAUUGCCCUGCCUGUGCCAGCCGAUGCACCUCUCACCUCACCACCCCGUGCCAAUUCUCUGCAUCCAGUCUGGGCUCCUAUCAUCCACACCUCUGUCCUGCGGUGCUGCUCUUCAGGUCCCAGCCGUGGGAUGCUGCUAUCUGUGCUCUCCUCCUGUAUCCUUAAGAUAAACAUGUCCUUCACUGUAGUCACCUACUCCAUCAUACACUCCUAUCAAAUGAGCCUUGCUAGCUCGUAAAUUACUGUGCAAACCAUUCCAAACAAUAAAGGCAAUUUUACUUACUGAACCA
Molecule: long non-coding RNA, 2694 nt
Organism: Phasianus colchicus (ring-necked pheasant)
Lineage: Eukaryota; Metazoa; Chordata; Aves; Galliformes; Phasianidae
Source: Ensembl